CGCUCCGGUGGCCUAGUGUUUAGAGCAUCCGCCUCAGAUGCAGGAGGUCGUGGGUUCGAUUCCCUAUUGAGUAA
Potamilus streckersoni is the source of this 74-nucleotide non-coding RNA. Lineage: Eukaryota; Metazoa; Mollusca; Bivalvia; Unionida; Unionidae. The record is from the annotation of a GenBank genome assembly.